This 750-nucleotide ribosomal RNA is filed under the name Salmonella enterica. RNAcentral's name for it is "partial 23S ribosomal RNA". It matches the Rfam family "Bacterial large subunit ribosomal RNA", at positions 1918 to 2667 of the family's 2925-position model. Lineage: Bacteria; Pseudomonadati; Pseudomonadota; Gammaproteobacteria; Enterobacterales; Enterobacteriaceae. The record is from RNAcentral. RNAcentral also lists the same sequence under 1 other name.
CCCCGGUAAACGGCGGCCGUAACUAUAACGGUCCUAAGGUAGCGAAAUUCCUUGUCGGGUAAGUUCCGACCUGCACGAAUGGCGUAAUGAUGGCCAGGCUGUCUCCACCCGAGACUCAGUGAAAUUGAACUCGCUGUGAAGAUGCAGUGUACCCGCGGCAAGACGGAAAGACCCCGUGAACCUUUACUAUAGCUUGACACUGAACAUUGAGCCUUGAUGUGUAGGAUAGGUGGGAGGCUUUGAAGUGUGGACGCCAGUCUGCAUGGAGCCGACCUUGAAAUACCACCCUUUAAUGUUUGAUGUUCUAACGUGGACCCGUAAUCCGGGUUGCGGACAGUGUCUGGUGGGUAGUUUGACUGGGGCGGUCUCCUCCUAAAGAGUAACGGAGGAGCACGAAGGUUGGCUAAUCCUGGUCGGACAUCAGGAGGUUAGUGCAAUGGCAUAAGCCAGCUUGACUGCGAGCGUGACGGCGCGAGCAGGUGCGAAAGCAGGUCAUAGUGAUCCGGUGGUUCUGAAUGGAAGGGCCAUCGCUCAACGGAUAAAAGGUACUCCGGGGAUAACAGGCUGAUACCGCCCAAGAGUUCAUAUCGACGGCGGUGUUUGGCACCUCGAUGUCGGCUCAUCACAUCCUGGGGCUGAAGUAGGUCCCAAGGGUAUGGCUGUUCGCCAUUUAAAGUGGUACGCGAGCUGGGUUUAGAACGUCGUGAGACAGUUCGGUCCCUAUCUGCCGUGGGCGCUGGAGAACUGAGG